GCGUGCCUAAUACAUGCAAGUCGAACGAACGAAUAAGAGCUUGCUCUUAUAAGUUAGUGGCGCACGGGUGAGUAAUAUAUAGCUAAUCUGCCUCUUAGUAGAGGAUAACAGUCGGAAACGAUUGCUAAUACUCUAUACUUCUGCUUUACAUAAGUAAAGUAGAGAAAGUUUUUCGCUAAGAGAUGAGGCUAUACUGUAUCAGCUAGUUGGUAAGGUAACGGCUUACCAAGGCUAUGACGCAUAACUGGUCUGAGAGGAUGAUCAGUCACAUUGGAACUGAGACACGGUCCAAACUCCUACGGGAGGCAGCAGUAGGGAAUAUUGCGCAAUGGGGGAAACCCUGACGCAGCAACGCCGCGUGGAGGAUGACACUUUUCGGAGCGUAAACUCCUUUUAUCGGGAAAGAAUAAUGACGGUACCCGAUGAAUAAGCACCGGCUAACUCCGUGCCAGCAGCCGCGGUAAAAGGG
Molecule: ribosomal RNA, 469 nt
Filed under: uncultured Campylobacterales bacterium
Lineage: Bacteria; Pseudomonadati; Campylobacterota; Epsilonproteobacteria; Campylobacterales
Description: bacterial SSU rRNA
Rfam family: Bacterial small subunit ribosomal RNA
Source: RNAcentral